Molecule: small nucleolar RNA, 84 nt
Filed under: Triticum urartu
Lineage: Eukaryota; Viridiplantae; Streptophyta; Magnoliopsida; Poales; Poaceae
Description: Small nucleolar RNA SNORD34
Rfam family: Small nucleolar RNA SNORD34
About the family: snoRNA U34 is found in intron 5 of the ribosomal protein L13a gene in humans. U34 is a member of the C/D class of snoRNA which contain C (UGAUGA) and D (CUGA) box motifs, and functions in directing site-specific 2'-O-methylation of 25S rRNAs.
Source: Rfam by way of RNAcentral
UUCCACCUAUGAUGAGUCGCAAACCUUAUUGCCUACAUUGUUUGAUCAAUCUUAUGAGAAGCUUCCUCAAGGACUGAGGAUGAA